AUUUACAAAGAGACUGGUAUGAGAGCCUCAGUGAUGGAAUAGGUUAUCAGCAAAACUGGCAGAAUGAUGCUAGAUCACUGAGACCAACAGGAACUGUAGGAGACUUUAACAAUAUAGACACCAACCAACCAUCAGGAGGAGCAGAUGCUGAUGAGUUAAGUGCUACAUACAAUGAAUACAUGAGGAAUUGGCAUGAGGACUUAAUUUUUUAUGAGGAAGAGUUUUAAAUCAAAAGAA
Molecule: long non-coding RNA, 237 nt
Organism: Amphimedon queenslandica
Lineage: Eukaryota; Metazoa; Porifera; Demospongiae; Haplosclerida; Niphatidae
Exons: 2
Source: RefSeq, a predicted model, not a curated record